UACGGAGGGUGCAAGCGUUGUCCGGAAUCACUGGGCGUAAAGGGCGCGUAGGCGGCUCAUGAAGGCUGUGGUGAAAGUCCGGGGCUCAACCUCGGAUCGGCCGUGGCGACUCGUGGGCUGGAGCACUGUAGAGGCGGGUGGAAUUCCGGGUGUAGCGGUGGAAUGCGUAGAGAUCCGGAAGAACACCGGUGGCGAAGGCGGUCUGCUGGGCAGUAGCUGACACUGAGGCGCGACAGCGUGGGGAGCAAACAGG
RNAcentral lists this ribosomal RNA (253 nucleotides) under uncultured bacterium. RNAcentral's name for it is "partial 16S ribosomal RNA". It matches the Rfam family "Bacterial small subunit ribosomal RNA", at positions 524 to 776 of the family's 1533-position model. The record is from RNAcentral.